GUCGAUCUGAAAAUGUUCUUAAUGACCUUCAUUCCCAGGAUCACAUUCAGUCUUUCCCUCUUGUUGUCAUCAGCAGAUAGGUCACUCAGUCCAGAAUUGGCCCUGGCUGCAGAAAGACUCGGGCUUUACAAUUCUAUAGGAAUACCAGGCAGUCGGGCUGAAAUGGGGAGGAAGAAAGCAUGACAAGAGAAGAAAGUGGCCAGGUCCAAGGAACUUGUUCAGCAUUGCUAGCUGCGGAAAAACUAUGUUCGUAUCACUUUUCCAGAGCCUUCGAUCAUGGAAUCUCUUCUGGGGACAGCCUGACCCUCCACAGAUAAGCUACUGGAACUCUCUGAGGGAAGUUUUGGCUCCUUUUUCUAGGAGGGAGGAUCCCUGAGAAGACCCGUGCAUGUUUGUCACGUUAGCUAUACCUACAGACCCAUCAGUCUGGCAUUGAAAUGAGCAGCCCACUCUUCCCUACCAGUUCACAAGCACCCAACGGCAGGGCCCCUGUGAAGGACAGUGCUCUCCCAGGGGACAGCGUUCAGCUUUGACUAGGGUUGAGCUGUCCUCUCUCCUCUGGCUCUCUAGUUCUAGUCUCCCUCCCUCCCUCUCUUGUACCCGCGCGUGCGCGCCCGCGCGCGCGCACUCACACACACACACACACACACACACACACGCACCCGCUCUCUCCCCCUACCGCUCGCGCUCUCCCCAGGCUUUGUCUGGAGGCUCCCGCCCGCUCCGUCUGCACCCCCCCCCCCCGGGCGUCCCGGUCCCCAGGCCCUGGGCGCGCAGGGGGACGUCGCGGCGCCACAGGCCUGGGGGACUGGACCGCGUCGAAGGCCGGAUGUGUGGGACGGGGCGAGACGGAGGCGCACAGCCCCAGAGAGUGAGAGUCCCCGCCGACAAGACAGUAGGCGACUCCGACCGCCAAAGACGCGAGUCAUUCCCACUGCAAACACCAGAGCGCGUCGGCCCGCCUUCCCCGCGGCCGCCCCCACUCCCCCGGCGCCACCGCGCGAACAAAAGCCGGCGGGCUCGGGGCGCUCCCCCUAGCGGCCGCUCCUCCCGCGGCGGCCCCGGCGCGGCCUUCCAGGGCUUUCUCGGCCUCCCGAGAACGCCCUCGCCACGCAGCCGCCCAGACGGGUGGCCGGCGCUGCGCCUUCCCUCUCUGGCCCUCCCAGGCGGUGCCCGUUUUGACGUACUUGUGAUCCAGGCAGAAAAGAAGCCUUCACAAGCCCACGUAUUUUCCUCAGUGAGUCAAAGAAAUAUUUAUGAUAUACUGAAACAGUUGAAGAAGUAUUCCGUUCAAAGUUCAGAGGGAGGAAACAGAGAAGCAGGAGACAAGAGCGAAUCUCAUCCAUCACUGUUGACAGUAGAACAUGUCCUGUGCGGUUGGCAUAGCUGUCUUUUCUUGCAAGGAGAUCUAACAUUCAUUCUUACUUGGGAGACUAAGAAGAGGUGGAGAAAAAAGAAGAUCCGCCCUUUUCAGUGCCACCACCCCGGGGAAAUGGGAGGGUGGGAAAGAGUGCAGGUCCUGGGUGUUAACAAGGCAGAGGUCAUGAGUGCACUCCCCACAUGGACCACUUGGCUCUGCUCCAUCCCACUGCCACAGAGGGCCCCUCGGAGUGGGAGCUGUGAUCCCUCUGACUAUUCUGCAGUUCACGUGAGUGAAGCCAGGGCUCAUUUAUGGAGGGGGGCAGCUACCCUAAGUCUUUUCUGUCUCUUUCUUGAAUAAAAGCAAUACUAUACAAGAUAUAAUUUUAAUUGCACACACAAUGUAAUUCUCAUCUGCUGCUCGG
Ailuropoda melanoleuca (giant panda) is the source of this 1784-nucleotide long non-coding RNA. Lineage: Eukaryota; Metazoa; Chordata; Mammalia; Carnivora; Ursidae. The record is from Ensembl.